Molecule: long non-coding RNA, 1304 nt
Filed under: Anas platyrhynchos platyrhynchos (common mallard)
Lineage: Eukaryota; Metazoa; Chordata; Aves; Anseriformes; Anatidae
Description: lncRNA (ENSAPLG00000017955.1)
Source: RNAcentral
GUAAGGACUUGGAUAAAUCAAGGACCUCUGUGAAUCAGUUUGCCCAUCUGGAAAACACAAACAAUAAUCACUAUAACUGGCUAACCAGCCUCUGUCAGUACAGAAAAACCUAGUGAUUUAGUAUUAGCAAAGACUGUUUCUAGCCCCAAGGAAAGCUGAAACAAGUAUGCAGCAUUAGUGUCAUUUGCAGAUCCUUGGUGAGAGAGGGGCUGCAAAGGAAAGGUAUUUUCCUCGGAGCACUGAACACCUGGCAGCAGCUUCAUUUGCAUGGUUACUGGUUCCUUCCUGUACAAACACAGCUCUCCUCUUCAUGCUAGCUCCUCUUCAUGAGUUGGAAAAAUGAACAAAGCUUUUGCCCUCAGUCUGCAGAACAUACUUAAACUAUAAAGGCUCUUACCAUUCUUGUCAAGUCUGUAAUCUGCUGGUCGUUCGUUAGUUCGUUACUUGUUGCCUUGAUCCACGUGUGGACCCGAAAUACAAAAGAGUCAUGGUUUUUAAUUUAACAGCUCUCCAGAAAUAGAAAAAAGAAGUGAAUUACUCCUGAAGUGGCUGGAGUCAAUAUAACAGCGUAACAGGGUUGGAAAAGAUUGGUAAACCAGCACAAAAAUAGUCCAGCCUGAGUCUUGUACAAGUUUGCAUCACUGCGGGAUGUGGUGGGCCUCAAGACACUAGGCAUUUUUGGCACAGCUUGCACUUCCAUUGCAGCUGUAGGAAGGCUGGAGAAUUGCCAUUCAGGGAUGGAACUAAUAUAGAAAUUUCUUUACUCGAUAACACAAUUAGAACCAAUUGUCAUCACCUUUGGCCUUGCUCUGUGAAGGUAAAAUGGCUUAUAAUAUUAACAGGUUGCUGAAGCCCAUUUAAACCUUCACUGAAGUAGCAACUGAAGUCCUCUGCAAAGCCACAGUGUCACCUCUGCUGUGUCCCUCCUUGGGCUGGUCUGGGUGGUUGGUAAUGUGGUCAGUGCUAGCUGGCUGACCUGAAGGACUUCUUGUGACAUACCUGCUAUUGCCAGCUGCUGGAGCACGUGUCAUAGAAGGGGAUUUCUUCUACUGUAAAACUUAACAUACUGUACGUAGUACAUAGUAGCAUCUGCCAGAAAUGCAACACUAUUGUUAUUUUUCCCGUCAUGUUAUGGCAAAUGAAAAUAUAAACAAUUAGGUUACUGCAUAAUUCCUGCAGAGUCAUUGAAGUCAGCCCAAGGUUACACCUAAAGCACAUUCCUUUUCUACAUAAAAUAUUUUCUGCAUAAUAAUCUACAUAAAACCUUUUCUACAUAAAUAAAUUUAUUUCCCACUAAUUUUCCA